GGGGGGGGGGGGGGGGGGGGGGGGGGGGGGGGGGGGGGGGGGGGGCGGGGGGGGGGGGGCGGGGGAGGGGGGGACGGGGGGGGAGUGCAGCGGGGCGUGCCCGGGCGUGGGGGGGCACUAGUCGCAAGGGUGGCUAAGACGGCGGACGGGCGAAGAGUGAAGGCGGCGGGCCGGAGGGCCGCGCGGGAGUGGAGAGGGAGAUGUCAGGUUAGGUAGUUGGUGGGGUGAGGGCUCACCAAGCCAGCGAUCUGUAGCUGGUCUGAGAGGACGCCCAGCCCCACUGGGACUGAGACACGGCCCAGACUCCUACGGGAGGCAGCAGUGGGGAAUUUUGGACAAUGGGCGCAAGCCUGAUCCAGCAAUGCCGCGUGCAGGAAGAAGGCCUUCGGGUUGUAAACUGCUUUUGUACGGAACGAAACGGCUCUGGUUAAUACCCGGGGCUAAUGACGGUACCGUAAGAAUAAGCACCGGCUAACUACGUG
This 482-nucleotide ribosomal RNA is filed under the name uncultured bacterium. RNAcentral describes it as "partial 16S ribosomal RNA". The stretch from base 92 to 482 matches the Rfam family "Bacterial small subunit ribosomal RNA", at positions 39 to 507 of the family's 1533-position model. The record is from RNAcentral.